This 1495-nucleotide long non-coding RNA is filed under the name Chinchilla lanigera (long-tailed chinchilla). Its description in RNAcentral is "lncRNA (ENSCLAG00000024849.1)". Lineage: Eukaryota; Metazoa; Chordata; Mammalia; Rodentia; Chinchillidae. The record is from RNAcentral.
CUAGAAGAGACAUAGAUGCUGGAAAUUUUAGCCAAGUAAUAUCUAUAUCUUGAAAAAUCCGGAUGAAAUCUGAACCAGCUUCCCUGUCUGUUACUUUCACAGUUCUGUUGCUAUAAACAAAGUCAGCAGGUGACUCCUCAGCCGUCUCAGGGACAAAAUGCAAUGGCUCACACCAUGCAGAAGGUCCCCAGAGACGAGGACCACACCUUCCAUCUCUCAUCCUCUGCACUUACACAGCGUCUGGCAGAGAGUGGUGCAUGGAGGACAAAGGCCAGAAUGUGCAGCAUUAUCUGUGUGACAGUUCUCCCCAGUGGCUUGGAUCACUCCCUCUCGACAACACCAGAAGAUGGGGAAGGAGCGUGUUAUACAUCUCUGAUUUCCGACAUCUGUUACCCACCUCGAGAGGAGUCUACCUACUUCACUGGGAUUCUUCAGAAGGAAAACGGUCACAUCACUACUUCUGAGAGCUCGGAGGAGCUGGGGACCCCAGGACCCUCCUUACCAGAUGUGCCUGUGAUGGAGCCUCGUGGCUUAUUUAGUUCUGAUUCUGGAAUAGAGAUGACUCCUGCAGAGUCCACCGAAGUGAACAAGGUCCUAGCUGACCCUCUGGGCCAUAUGAAAGCAGAAGCCUGUAAGUACAUGGAUAUAACGAGGCCAGAGGAGGUGAAAUGUCAGGAGCAACAUCGCCCUGAGUUGGAGGAUAAAGACUUGGACUUUAAGAGCAAGGACACUGAAAUCUCAACAAAAGCAGGAGGCAUCCGAGAACCUGACAAACCAGCUCCUGUGGAGGGGAAAAUCAUCAAGGACCACUUGUUUGAAGAAUCCACCUUUGCUUCUUACAUAGAUGAUCUCUCUGAGGCCCAGCACAGUGCUCCUCUGGUCACGGCCCCCAUCAAAAUCACACUGACCGAAAUUGAACCUGCUGUCAUGACUGCUGUCCAAGACAAGACCCCAGAGAAGCAAGACGUCUGUCUGAAGCCAAGCCCUGACACAGUCCCCACCGUCACUGUUUCAGAGCCCGAAGAUGACAGCCCAGGAUCUGUCACUCCUCCAUCUUCUGGAACAGAACCAUCUGCUGCCGAGUCCCCAGGGAAAGGCGGCGGGUCGGAGGACGAGCUCGUGACUGCCAUCCAGGAAGCACAGGGGCUGUCCUUCGAGCCCGCGAGGGGCCCGGCGGCCGGGGGGCCCGAGGCCAAGGCCAGGUCGGGGCUGCCCACCCUGCCCGGGCCCCUGGACCACGAGGCGAGCAGCGCCGAGUCGGGGGACUCGGAGAUCGAGCUGGUGUCGGAGGACCCCCUGGCCGGCGAGGACGCGCUGCCCGCGGGGUUCGCGGCUUUCGGCUCUGGGGGCGGCCCCCCGCCGUCGCCCGCCUCCCCGGGAGUGCAGUACAGCCUGCUGCGCGAGGAGCGCGAGGCCGAGCUGGACAGCGAGCUCAUCCUCGAGUCGGGCGACGCCUCCUCGGCCUCGGAGGAGAGCCCCAAGCGCGAGCAGGACU